Hypoxylon sp. NC1633 is the source of this 73-nucleotide non-coding RNA. The record is from the annotation of a GenBank genome assembly. Lineage: Eukaryota; Fungi; Ascomycota; Sordariomycetes; Xylariales; Hypoxylaceae.
GGCCCAGUGGUCUAGUGGCUAUGAUUGUCGCUUGUAAUGUGACAGGUCCCGGGUUCAAAUCCCGGCUGGGCCC